This 74-nucleotide transfer RNA is filed under the name Nocardia aurantia. RNAcentral's name for it is "tRNA-Phe". It matches the Rfam family "tRNA". From Rfam's summary of the family: Transfer RNA (tRNA) molecules are approximately 80 nucleotides in length. Lineage: Bacteria; Bacillati; Actinomycetota; Actinomycetes; Mycobacteriales; Nocardiaceae. The record is from RNAcentral.
GGCCAGGUAGCUCAGUUGGUAGAGCGUCCGCCUGAAAAGCGGAAGGUCGCCGGUUCGAUCCCGGCCUUGGCCAC